UACGGAAGAUGCGAGCGUUAUCCGGAUUUAUUGGGUUUAAAGGGAGCGUAGGCGGGCUUUUAAGUCAGCGGUCAAAUGUCACGGCUCAACCGUGGCCAGCCGUUGAAACUGCAAGCCUUGAGUCUGCACAGGGCACAUGGAAUUCGUGGUGUAGCGGUGAAAUGCUUAGAUAUCACGAAGAACUCCGAUCGCGAAGGCAUUGUGCCGGGGCAGCACUGACGCUGAGGCUCGAAAGUGCGGGUAUCAAA
Molecule: ribosomal RNA, 248 nt
Filed under: uncultured Paraprevotella sp.
Lineage: Bacteria; Pseudomonadati; Bacteroidota; Bacteroidia; Bacteroidales; Prevotellaceae
Description: partial 16S ribosomal RNA
Rfam family: Bacterial small subunit ribosomal RNA
Source: RNAcentral